CCCGUUGAACUCAAUUAUCCGAGCGGCGAUAUUCACCUGCGCGGUCCCCUCACGGGGCGCCGCCAGGGCACUUAUCGUGCGCAGUGUGCGGACAUCGCGAUCCAUUACGAACCCUUGAACGCAAUUCCAGCACCCCGGCCCCUGGCCCGUGUUGUCGACCCCCGGGCGGUCCGCGGCUUCGCCGUGUGUCCGCGUGGCGGGGGAACCGUGCGCUCGCGCGCACUCUUCGACCGGGCGCGGUGUGCCGCUGGAAGCGUGAUGGACUCACAGUCGCGGUGGGAGACGGUAGCGUAUGCUGCGGCAUACACCGGCACCUAGCCAUGGGCCACCGGCUUGUCUCUCCCGAUCGGCGAUGCAUAAACGUGAAUUGAGGUACCUCCGGG
This 383-nucleotide ribosomal RNA is filed under the name Anopheles bellator. RNAcentral describes it as "eukaryotic LSU rRNA". The record is from RNAcentral. Lineage: Eukaryota; Metazoa; Arthropoda; Insecta; Diptera; Culicidae.